UUUACAUGGACCCCCUUUGUCAUUAGUAGG
RNAcentral lists this non-coding RNA (30 nucleotides) under Rattus norvegicus (Norway rat). Lineage: Eukaryota; Metazoa; Chordata; Mammalia; Rodentia; Muridae. The record is from RNAcentral.